This 1604-nucleotide ribosomal RNA is filed under the name wastewater metagenome. Its description in RNAcentral is "bacterial LSU rRNA". It matches the Rfam family "Archaeal large subunit ribosomal RNA", at positions 1343 to 2987 of the family's 2987-position model. The record is from RNAcentral.
CUGGGGCGUAAGUUCCAGUGGACCGUGUAGUGAUGAGAAUUCUGGCACUAGUAGAAGCAUAGAUGAGUGAGAAUCUCAUCCGCCGCAGGGGCUAGGUUUCCUCGGCAAUGUUCGUCAGCCGAGGGUUAGUCGGUCCUAAGCUGCACCGUAACUCGAGUGUAGCAACAGGGAAACAGGUUAAUAUUCCUGUACCUUAUGGUUUUUAGCGUAAGCCCUGACGCUUCCGGAUAUGCCCAGCGGGAUCGUCGUCCCGUUUAAGCGUAUAAUCCCUUGGAGUACCGUAAUGGUGAGAAUUGGGAGAAAGCGUGAUGGGGAAACUAGGUAAAUUUCUGGAGCCCAUGAAAAGGGAAUCAUAAGUCCGUACCGAGAACCGACACAGGUGCCCCUCGCUGAAGAGGUGAAGGCGUGUCGGAUUUAAAUGUAGUUAAGGGAACUCGGCAAAUUGGCCCCGUAACUUUGGGAUAAGGGGUGCCUGCCUGGAGAUCAGGCAGGUCGCAGUGACCGGGUCGCUCUAACUGUCUAAUAACAACAUAGGUGACUGCAACUCCGAAAGGACUAGUAUAGUCACUGAUUCCUGCCCAGUGCGAGUAUCUGAAUACCGGGUUCAACCGGACGAAGGACUCGUAAACGGCGGGGGUAACUAUGACCCUCUUAAGGUAGCGUAGUACCUUGUCGCUUAAUUGGCGACUUGCAUGAAUGGAUUAAUGAGAGCGAUACUGUCCCUAACACAUAUCCGUUGAACUUUUUGUCCUAGUGCAGAGACUAGGGACUCCUGAUGGGAAGUGAAGACCCCGUUGAGCUUUACUGCAGCCUGUCGCUGAAUUACGAUAAUUCUUGCGCAGUGUAGAUGGGAGACGUUAUAUCCGUUUCUUUCGGGGAACGGGGAGUCAACGAUGAGACACCAUCCUAGUUUUGUUGUAGUUCUCACUCUUACGAGGACAACGGUAGGUAGGCAGUUUGGGUGGGGCGCCACACCCUCGAAAAAAUAUCAAGGGUGCCCUAAGGUCAACUCAUGUGAGUCAGAAACUCACAGAAGAGUGUCAAGAGCAUAAGUUGGCCUGACGCGAUCACGCAUAGCAAGUGAUCGCGAGAGGAAACUCGGGUCUAACGAACCAAUAUGCCCUUUUGGUGAGGGCUAUUGACUACAGAAAAGCUACCACGGGGAUAACAGAGUCGUCGCCGGCAAGAGCACAUAUCGACCCGGCGGCUUGCUACCUCGAUGUCGGUUCUUUCCAUCCUGGCUGUGCAGCAGCAGCCAAGGGUGAGGUUGUUCGCCUAUUAAAGGGGAUCGUGAGCUGGGUUUAGACCGUCGUGAGACAGGUCGGUUACUAUCUAUCAGGAGUGUUAGGAGUCUGAGGGUAAGAAUGAAAUAGUACGAGAGGAACUUUCAUUCGGCGCCACUGGUCGAUCGGUUGUCUGACAAGGCAGUGCCGAGCAGCUACGCGCCAAGGGAUAAAAGCUGAAAGCAUCUAAGCUUGAAACCCGGCCUAAAAAGAGACUCCGUUGAGGACACGGGUAAAAGACCCGUUUGAUAGGCUUCGGAUGUACGCACGAAGGCAACGACGUGUUCAGUCCGGAAGUACUAACGUCCAAACACUAGUGCU